Long non-coding RNA from Gasterosteus aculeatus aculeatus (three-spined stickleback), 709 nucleotides. The record is from Ensembl. NCBI's taxonomy places the organism in Eukaryota, Metazoa, Chordata, Actinopteri, Perciformes, Gasterosteidae.
GGGAACUGUAAUUUCUACAGUUUAGCAACAAGGCACGCAUAGUGAACAACACCGCUGUGCGUUUCCAGGCCUGCAAACUGACUGAGCUCUUGUUUAACCAAAGGGAUCUGACUUCACUGAAUCCGAGGAGGCGUCUGGAGCAUCUGAUACAGCACAAAGAGACAAACGUUGGAGAGCACGACAGAGGAACGACAAAGGAAGACUGUACUUUCACUGCCCACCGGUGAAAGUGGAAAUGGGCUUUGUUGCCCCUCAGUCAGGCGGAAAAUUGCAAACCCAUUUGUCAUUGUGUGCCAAGGAUGCAGAGGGUUAAACGUGAACAAGCCCCGGCGAGUUAAGAGGCACAAGUGAUCCAACAGUACCGCUUGAGUCCUGGUUGCUUUGGCGAACGCAGAGGAGCUAAUGCAGACAACCUCUCCAGAGGAAUCAAUGUGACUCAAUAGAAUGAAAGGAAAGAGAUGAUUGACUUUUCCGUGAAUGAACCCACUGUCGUGGCUGCUCUCGCUGUGAUCUCUGGGAGUGUUUGCAACGCAAAAUGUUGUUGAAUUUCAAACAGGAGUUGAACUGCAGAGCUCAGAGCCUCCUCCACAAUAAUAACCAUGGGUGCUUCUGGAAGGAGGAAAUCCCCAAGACACAUAACUCGACUCCAGAGGCAACGCACAAACAAAGACUGUAGAGGGCUACUUAUAGAGCCACCAUAUCAAUAAAA